RNAcentral lists this ribosomal RNA (249 nucleotides) under uncultured bacterium. RNAcentral's name for it is "partial 16S ribosomal RNA". It matches the Rfam family "Bacterial small subunit ribosomal RNA", at positions 29 to 257 of the family's 1533-position model. The record is from RNAcentral.
AGCGAACGCUGGCGGCGUGCCUAACACAUGCAAGUCGAGCGAAGGCAUGAGUGUAGCAAUACACUUAUGUACUUAGCGGCGGACGGGUGAGUAACACGUGGAUAAUCUGCCCUGAGGACCGGGACAACUCUUGGAAACGGGAGCUAAUACCGGAUGUGACCACGAUGCUUGAGGGCAUUGGGGUAAAAGGCGGCCUGCAAGGGCUGUUGCUUCGGGAUGAGUUCACGACCCAUCAGGUAGUUGGGGGGU